Non-coding RNA from Culex pipiens (northern house mosquito), 53 nucleotides. The record is from Rfam. NCBI's taxonomy places the organism in Eukaryota, Metazoa, Arthropoda, Insecta, Diptera, Culicidae.
AAAAUGGCUUCUUUGGGCAUACCGAAGCCACCAAAAGUUUCAGUCGAAUUAAA